UACGGAGGGGGCUAGCGUUGCUCGGAAUCACUGGGCGUAAAGCGCACGUAGGCGGAUCCUUAAGUCGGGGGUGAAAUCCUGGAGCUCAACUCCAGAACUGCCUUCGAUACUGAGGAUCUCGAGACCGGGAGAGGUGAGUGGAACUGCGAGUGUAGAGGUGAAAUUCGUAGAUAUUCGCAAGAACACCAGUGGCGAAGGCGGCUCACUGGCCCGGUACUGACGCUGAGGUGCGAAAGCGUGGGGAGCAAACAGG
Molecule: ribosomal RNA, 253 nt
Filed under: uncultured bacterium
Lineage: Bacteria
Description: partial 16S ribosomal RNA
Rfam family: Bacterial small subunit ribosomal RNA
Source: RNAcentral